ACUCGUUUGGGCGAGUAUAAAAAGAAGAUUAAGCCCAAAGCGUUCCGACACGCUCGGAGGUCUUG
This 65-nucleotide ribozyme is filed under the name unclassified sequences. RNAcentral describes it as "pistol ribozyme". It matches the Rfam family "Pistol ribozyme". The record is from RNAcentral.